UGGGGAAUUUUGGACAAUGGGGGCAACCCUGAUCCAGCCAUGCCGCGUGCGGGAAGAAGGCCUUCGGGUUGUAAACCGCUUUUAGUCGGGAAGAAAAGGGCGUGGUGAAUACCCUCGUUUUUUGACGGUACCGGCGGAAUAAGCACCGGCUAACUACGUGCCAGCAGCCGCGGUAAUACGUAGGGUGCGAGCGUUAAUCGGAAUUACUGGGCGUAAAGCGUGCGCAGGCGGUUCGCUGUGUCCGAUGUGAAAGCCCCGGGCUUAACCUGGGAAUGGCAUUGGAAACUGGCGGGCUUGAGCGUGGCAGAGGGGGGUGGAAUUCCGCGUGUAGCAGUGAAAUGCGUAGAGAUGCGGAGGAACACCGAUGGCGAAGGCAGCCCCCUGGGCUAACACUGACGCUCAGGCACGAAAGCGUGGGGAGCAAACAGGAUUAGAUACCCUGGUAGUCCACGCCCUAAACGAUGUCGACUGGGUGUUGGGGAAGCGAUUCCCUAGUACCGUAGCUAACGCGUGAAGUCGACCGCCUGGGGAGUACGGCCGCAAGGUUAA
RNAcentral lists this ribosomal RNA (549 nucleotides) under uncultured beta proteobacterium. Its description in RNAcentral is "bacterial SSU rRNA". It matches the Rfam family "Bacterial small subunit ribosomal RNA", at positions 355 to 897 of the family's 1533-position model. Lineage: Bacteria; Pseudomonadati; Pseudomonadota; Betaproteobacteria. The record is from RNAcentral.